Molecule: non-coding RNA, 120 nt
Filed under: Lachnospiraceae bacterium 9_1_43BFAA
Lineage: Bacteria; Bacillati; Bacillota; Clostridia; Lachnospirales; Lachnospiraceae
Also listed under: 1 other name
Description: Glycine riboswitch aptamer
Rfam family: Glycine riboswitch aptamer
About the family: This family represents the bacterial glycine riboswitch. Glycine riboswitches usually consist of two metabolite-binding aptamers domains with similar structures in tandem. The aptamers cooperatively bind glycine to regulate the expression of downstream genes.
Source: Rfam by way of RNAcentral
AGCUCUCUGGAGAACGCGAGUAUGCGUACCGAAGAAGAAACUUAUGAAAUACGGAAGUUAAGAAUGAUAAUUGAAGUAAAACAUAAGGAAACUUUCAGGUUCGAGGACAGAGAUGAACAA